RNAcentral lists this long non-coding RNA (3887 nucleotides) under Phocoena sinus (vaquita). Its description in RNAcentral is "lncRNA (ENSPSNG00000010620.1)". Lineage: Eukaryota; Metazoa; Chordata; Mammalia; Artiodactyla; Phocoenidae. The record is from RNAcentral.
GGGGCGGGGGGUGGCCAAGGAUGCUGUUGGCAAGCGAAGGCCGUGCUGGGGCCUCCUGCGGUUCUGGCUUCUGAGCCCAGACUAGAGAAACCCCUCUGGAGACUUCGUGAAGCUUGGCUGGUCGGUUUCCUGGUUGGUGACUCAGGGGUGGAAAUGGUUUGGGGAUUUUUGUCCUUGUUUUGUUUUCUUUGGAAUCAGGCGCUGCGUAAACACGCUCAGGCUCCGGGGCUGUAAGGCCCUCCGUCCCCUUCGGCGUGCUCUGAUUGUGUGUCUCCAGCCGGAUUGUGAGGAGGCUGAUCUCUGUGUAUUUACCGGUAAACCUCAGUCUCUCAUCUGUAAAAUGGGGCUACUCAUGCCUUCUUGCAGGUUUGCCGUGAGUCUUAGAGGUUUGGGGUCCAGGUUUGGUUGCAAACCCUCCCAUCCACCCUUCCCCCUUCCUGGGCUCUCUCGGAAAGGAUCUUACUUGCAAAGAGCGAGAUCUGGAGGAGAGGGUGACCUCUUCCUUCAAAAGCCCAACAAGCCCCUGAUAAGCCCCUCCCCCUGGGGACCCCUUGUUUCCUCCCAUCGAGUCCAGAGCAGGCUCUCAGGGGCAGCCCGAGAGCCUGUUCGUGCAGCCGGGAUGACGAUGCUGAUCUCACCUCCAGGGCCAGACGAGCCCCACCCAGUGCGCUCCUCGUGGAGGCUGGGAGCGCAAGAGGAAGUUGGAGGAAAUGAACAAGGGAAGUUCACAGAGGGAUGGGGUCCUUUCUCUCUUAUCAUCACAAACCCAAAAAUGAAAGAAGAGGGGCUGCCUUUGCCGUCCUUGAUCCCUGCCUGUUGAAUGUCCCUGAGUGCAACUAACUAGCACAGCUACCCAUCUGUAGGGAGCCCAGAACUGGGAUGGGAAGCGGGAUGGAAGUGCCCCACACUGAUAGCAGAGGAGGAAACAAGAGGACCGGAGGGAGAGGGAUCGCCUUCCUGGUGAGGAGAGUUAGAGAUGACAAAUCUGGAACCGCCAGCAUGCUGGUGGGCCCGGGGGAGGGGCUUCCCAAAGGGGAUCUGUUGCUUGUAGUAGGGCUUUGCCGUGCCCAGAUUGGAUGUACGUGCUGAGAUGAAGGGUCCCAGUUAGUGUGCUCUUGUGGACCACUUUCCUGAGAACCACACAAAGCAGGUGGCCUUCCUGAGCAUCUUCAUCAAAACUGGCAACGUUUCUGGCCUUCACUUGCCCACGUGUCUGGUGAACCCACGGAUGUGCCAUCGGCAUUUAAAAAUAUGACCUCCGAAAUUUGUGCAGUGCUUUAAAAUUUAUAGUGAAUUUCCUCAUAUGUCACUUGAGCCUCGUUCGCCUGUGACCCAGCGGUGGUCUGGGUGUCCUCACUGGAGCUGAGGAGACUGGUGCUCAUACAGUAAGCGCACGGCGAGGCGGGACGUGGUCUUCACCUCCACAUCCGGGCUCCUUCCUGUAACCGUGAUGCUUCUUCCGCCCCGCCGUCCCAGGCCUGUAACGCGCCUGGCCACUUUCUCAUUGCCUCUGCAUGGGAGGUGCCCUGUGCGGCCUCCUGUGUCUUCCGAGGGUUAGGGAAAAAGGCUUUCAGCUUUGGUGAAGGUUCACAGAAAAGUGGGAUCCAGAAGUGUCUUGGAGUCUGGCGCAGGUGCCAGAAGAGUCUGGCAAGUGCGUUGGCCACGCUGACUCAGCCCGUCCCCCAAGAUCCCACACUUUGGAUGGAUGUUGCAAUGACUCUGGCAGCCCUGUGCGCUGCCCUUGGCCUCACAGGCAUUCCAGUGAUGAUGAUGGCUUGUCGGGGUCAUGGCCCUGGUACCGAGCACGGCUCUUUGCGGCUGAUGGAAAACAUAACUGGAGCCACCUGCUUGCGAGGCUGGCUUCUCAGGCUCUGGGGCCUGGAACCGGCUGGAGGGAGACGUUCCUAUCGCUGCGUGUAGCGAUUGUCAGUCACAUCUUUUCCUGUAGGUUUCCCCAAGCAAUUGGAAAAACCAGGGCCUCAGCUACCCUGCCGUGUACGACCAGGCCACUCAGUCUCUUCUUCCCGCCCUGGGAGCUGGAAGGUCUGUCUUCCGUCUCUUUGUCUGUCUGAUCCCUCCUUCCUCCCUGGAGUCUCACGCCCGGGUGCACAGGGCCCUGCCGUGGUCACUCAUGGAGCUGCUUUAUUAAAUCCCCACGUGCCGUUCUUGGAUGGCUUUGUGCGUGGUUAUCCUGACUGCGUUCCUUGGGGCCAGAUGCCGGGUCUGCCGGGUCCUUCCUCUGCCUCCACGUGCCUGGGUGUGUGGGCAGAGUGAGUGGUGACAAAUUCAUCUCGUGGAACGUGGUGGAAGGUUAUAGGCCAGGGGCAGAUCUGGGAGCCCAGAGGUACGGUUUUGUUACCAGGACCAAUUCCCCACCUCUCUGGGUUUCCGUCCUUCCCUGUGCAGUGGAAGCGUUGAAGGAGUGAUCUCCGAGCCCCAAACCUAAAAUUCUAGGACUAACGAUGGAUUCCUUGAGAGGGCCUCCGUGCUUUGGCUGCGUGCAUGCCCUGUAUUGCAGCCUGUUGGGCUGUCUUUGGCUUGUCACCAGCAUCUGUGACUUGGCUGCCCGGAACUUUAAAAAAAAAGAAACCCUCUUCAUAUCUCAGAGGGAGGCCCCAGCGAGAACAGGAGAACAGUGUGGAGUGUUUGGAAGCGGACAAGCCUGAAAAUACCCUGGUCCCAUCAUUUACUAGUGUGAUCUCGAGCAGGUUACCUCAGUAAACCCACCUUCUCAUCAGAAACACAGAGUUCAUGAGAGCAGCCUCACAAGGGGAUGGAGGAAUAAGGGCAGGUUUGGUGCACACGCAGCGUCAAUGCUCAGUAACAACGGCGGGAAUAAUACUUACUGUAAUUGGGAAGCGAAAGGGUGUGUCUUCUAAUCCUCUGUGAGCACUUUCUCAUUUGUAAACUAUCGGUUGUAGUUUGGGACAAUGCCUUUCUCAUUUUCGUAAGCGGCGUAAUGAUUUGAGGAGAAUCAUUUCGGUUCUAAUAAGAACACUAGCCGUAUAACGAUGCACGAUGGCAUUUGAAUAGAGUUCCGUCAUUCAUGGAAUUGGAGAGACUUACAAAAACACACCUUGACUCUCUGGAAUCUGAGAUCUCUGGUGAGUGAUUCAAACAGACUACUCUUACUUCCUGCCAGCAGAAAUCAAUCAAGUGCAAACCUUUACUUUUCAACCAAAUUGUGGAAAAUGGAACACAUUCCAUGAUAGGAAACUGUUUUAAUGAGACACUUCAUUCUUGAGGUGAUUUGCUAAAGGGAGGCUCUCCAGGUUGCCACUGACCUACCAAAAGCGACAGACUCACAAUCGUAUAUGCUUUUCUUUUCCCCAGCAGUUCUGGGUUUAAGUAACUGAAGCUUCUCAAAUAUUAAAGUUGGAGGGUGGCUCAGUGAUCCAAGCAGUGAAGACUAAAAAAAGACUUCGGGUGUAAAUCAAAAUUUUCUAACUGCCUUGUCCCAGGAUGCCAGGAAAGUCACUUGGUAGCCUUGGAUAUCUCGAUCUUACCAACUCCAACUUUGGCGCGAUGAACGUAACUCAGCUUUAGAGAGUAUUAGUGAGGAAAUAAAAAGUUAGGUGAUCUUUUUCAGUUUAAGUGAAAAAAAAUCUAUGUUGAGUAUUACCUUUUAACCCUAGUGUGUGUGUGUGUGUGUGUGUGUUAGCCAGAAGUUCAAGUUUCUGUAAAGGUUUCCAGCACAAAAUGUCUUUCAUUUUGUGAUCUUUGUGUCUUUCAUUUUGUGAGUUUGAUCAAAGACGCAGAGAACAGACGUGUGGACACCAAGCGGGGAAAGCAGGGCGGGGGUGGUGGUGGGAUGAACUGGGAGAUUGGGAUUGUCAUAUAUACACUAAUCUGUAUAAAAUAGAUGACUAAUAAGGACCUGCUGUAUC